Molecule: ribosomal RNA, 460 nt
Filed under: uncultured bacterium
Lineage: Bacteria
Description: partial 16S ribosomal RNA
Rfam family: Bacterial small subunit ribosomal RNA
Source: RNAcentral
CCUACGGGUGGCUGCAGUGAGGAAUAUUGGUCAAUGGACGAGAGUCUGAACCAGCCAAGUAGCGUGAAGGAUGACUGCCCUAUGGGUUGUAAACUUCUUUUAUAUGGGAAUAAAAUGUUCCACGUGUGGGAUUUUGUAUGUACCAUAUGAAUAAGGAUCGGCUAAAUCCGUGCCAGCAGCCGCGGUAAUACGGUGGAUCCGAGCGUUAUCCGGAUUUAUUGGGUUUAAAGGGAGCGUAGGUGGAUUGUUAAGUCAGUUGUGAAAGUUUGCGGCUCAACCGUAAAAUUGCAGUUGAAACUUGCAGUCUUGAGUAAAGUAGAGGUGGGCGGAAUUCGUGGUGUAGCGGUGAAAUGCUUAGAUAUAACGAAGAACUCCGAUUGCGAAGGCAGUUCACUGGACUGAAACUGACACUGAGGCUCGAAAGUGUGGGUAUCAAACAGGAUUAGAUACCCGAGUAGUC